CAGACUUUCAGUUGGGCCCAUUGUCACUCCCAAAUAAAAUCAUGGUUCUGGAACCAACAAAAAAGGGCAGAAUGGAUAUUGGUUUGGCAGCCAGUUGCCUCUGCCACAACAGGCAAUGAAGCAAAGGAACGUCAUUCUAUGAGAAAGUGAUGCUGAUGCUGAGAGAUGCAGAAUUAAGAGGAGUUAACCAGGUUGACAUGGGGAGCUGGAUCAAAUAAGAUUCCUUAAGAGGAAGCUCUUUGCAACUGUCAAGUGCCAUGCAAAUGUCCGCUAUUCCUAAGCCUGGACCCACAGCUCCGUCCUGGGAGUUCAGGGUCUUUGCAUUAUGCAUGUUGCUGGCUCAACAGGCCCAGACUCCAGCUUGUUCUUUGAUGCAGGCACAGUGAAGCAGAAAAUUCAC
Molecule: long non-coding RNA, 400 nt
Filed under: Equus caballus (horse)
Lineage: Eukaryota; Metazoa; Chordata; Mammalia; Perissodactyla; Equidae
Description: lncRNA (ENSECAG00000051538.1)
Source: RNAcentral